RNAcentral lists this ribosomal RNA (567 nucleotides) under Streptomyces sp. 334F05. RNAcentral's name for it is "bacterial SSU rRNA". It matches the Rfam family "Bacterial small subunit ribosomal RNA", at positions 93 to 672 of the family's 1533-position model. The record is from RNAcentral. Lineage: Bacteria; Bacillati; Actinomycetota; Actinomycetes; Kitasatosporales; Streptomycetaceae.
UAGUGGCGAACGGGUGAGUAACACGUGGGCAAUCUGCCCUUCACUCUGGGACAAGCCCUGGAAACGGGGUCUAAUACCGGAUAACACCUGCCCGGGCAUCCGGGUGGGUUAAAAGCUCCGGCGGUGAAGGAUGAGCCCGCGGCCUAUCAGCUUGUUGGUGAGGUAGUGGCUCACCAAGGCGACGACGGGUAGCCGGCCUGAGAGGGCGACCGGCCACACUGGGACUGAGACACGGCCCAGACUCCUACGGGAGGCAGCAGUGGGGAAUAUUGCACAAUGGGCGAAAGCCUGAUGCAGCGACGCCGCGUGAGGGAUGACGGCCUUCGGGUUGUAAACCCUCUUUCAGCAGGGAAGAAGCGAAAGUGACGGUACCUGCAGAAGAAGCGCCGGCUAACUACGUGCCAGCAGCCGCGGUAAUACGUAGGGCGCAAGCGUUGUCCGGAAUUAUUGGGCGUAAAGAGCUCGUAGGCGGGCUUGUCACGUCGGGUGUGAAAGCCCGGGGCUUAACCCCGGGUCUGCAUUCGAUACGGGCUAGCUAGAGUGUGGUAGGGGAGAUCGGAAUUCCCU